This 65-nucleotide transfer RNA is filed under the name Dipodomys ordii (Ord's kangaroo rat). It matches the Rfam family "tRNA". From Rfam's summary of the family: Transfer RNA (tRNA) molecules are approximately 80 nucleotides in length. Their secondary structure includes four short double-helical elements and three loops (D, anti-codon, and T loops). Further hydrogen bonds mediate the characteristic L-shaped molecular structure. tRNAs have two regions of fundamental functional importance: the anti-codon, which is responsible for specific mRNA codon recognition, and the 3' end, to which the tRNAs corresponding amino acid is attached (by aminoacyl-tRNA synthetases). tRNAs cope with the degeneracy of the genetic code in two manners: having more than one tRNA (with a specific anti-codon) for a particular amino acid; and 'wobble' base-pairing, i.e. permitting non-standard base-pairing at the 3rd anti-codon position. The record is from Rfam by way of RNAcentral. Lineage: Eukaryota; Metazoa; Chordata; Mammalia; Rodentia; Heteromyidae.
GGUGGCUCAGUGGUAGAGUGCUUGCUUCGCAUACAUGAGGCCCUGAGUUCGAUUCCUCAGCACCG